CACUAGGUAGUCGAUGCAAGGAUGUCAAAUUACGUCUUUGGAAAGAACACAAAAAAAGUAAUCUGAUUGAAACGUUGAGGAAUCGACCCGAGAAAAUUCCUGAAAAUCAAUGGUCUCAUUUCGUUCACAAGAGGUUCACUGAAAAGUGGAAGAAAAUGCAAGAGCGGAAUACAAGGAGCCAAAAAAACAAUACCAUGCCUCACUUAUGUGGAAGAAAGAGUUUUUCAAGAAAAAGAAAUGAGAUUAAAGUCAAGAUCGGAAAAACACCAUGUCGAGCCGAAUUUUUCAUUGAGACUCGCAAGAAACCUGAUGGAACCUUUGUGUCUGAGGAGGCGAAAAUACGCGCGGCUAGUUUUAUUAUAGUCACUUUGAAUUUUGAUCAAUACUUUUUCGAAGUGAACUUUUAAGAAAAAAGCUGGAGGUGCGUUGUUUUAGUCUGUUGGAUUUUUCCUUGUAUCAUUUAUAAAGGAAGCACUUACCACGUUGAUGGAGCAAAAUCCGCAAGUCCCGAGCAAUGUUACUGCUAGAUUGGAUGAUGAAUAUGCUCAAGUGUUUGGUCCAGAGUCUUCAGGACGAGUUCGUUGUGUUGGCCGUGGACCCACACCUUCAAAAUUAGUGAGACACUCGACGGCUGCAACUACACAAGAGAUAGAGAAUUCUGAAACAGUUACCCAGCUGAGGACACAAUUGAAAGUUUUAGCAGAUCAGGUUAAGGCAAUGUCUACAUUCGUUGGACAAAUACUUGGUAAUUCAACUGGCGAACAGGUAUUAAUAUAUAACAAUAGUUUUGUAAGUUUAUUUGCAUUAGUAUAAAUUAGAUAUAUAAAACUAAUGUUUUACGUUGAAUAUUCAGGCAACUGCAUGGGCUGUAAAUUUUGCAACAGCUUUUGCGAACAUACCAAAUCCAGCCUUUGUAAACAUUCCAAAUCCACCGAAUCCUCGGGAAUUGGAUGAUGGUGCCAAUGAUAAACGCUAGAUGCUUAAGCAUUCAACCAAAUGCUAGUCAUCAUCAUCUACGUACGAUGAUCAACAUCUGUUUGUCACAACAUUUUAGCCU
Molecule: non-coding RNA, 1057 nt
Organism: Camelina sativa (false flax)
Lineage: Eukaryota; Viridiplantae; Streptophyta; Magnoliopsida; Brassicales; Brassicaceae
Source: RefSeq, a predicted model, not a curated record